GAGGAGGAUCUUGGGAUUUGACUGGUUUUAAUGGCCACACCUGAUUCUGGUUUUUCCACUGCAUCAGAAGGAAGAUCUUUGCUCUGGCAUUUCCCUGGAAAUCCUGGUCUUGUGGAAAGAUUUGGAUACUCAUGGGUGGGACAUCUGCCUUGAAGGAGACUACUUUUCCCUGGAGUGCUGAGAGUCAUCUGUCUGACAGCUACCAGUCAAAGACCACUUGGCUAAGCUUAGAGUCUAAGAAAAUUUCCAAAAGCACUGAAAGUUUAAGUGACUUGUCAAGAGGAACACAGCCAUUAUGCAUCACAACUGGGACAUCAAUGGAGGUCUUUCUGAUUCUGCUGACAAGUCACUAUCUACUAGUCUAUUUUGAUCUUCACCUGAAACACAACAACAGGACAGGAGAAAAGGCUCCAUGUCGAGAACAAAGUGCAACAUUCAAAUACAGUCACUGGAGAAGGAAGAGUCACUAGCAGAAGUGAAGAGAAGAGGCAAGCCAUUGAAAUAUAACCGUGGCCCCAACUUCCAGAAAAAGAAUUAAUUCAGAGUCUUAAUAGAAUGGGGAUAAGGUUUAUAUAGAGUAAAUAAUAUAAGAGCAAUACAAAAGGUAGAUAAUAUGAUAUAGGUUGUAUAUAUUAUCAUAUAAUACAUAUUUCUACAUUCAUUAUAUUGUGAAAUAAGAUGCAUAUUGUUUACAGUAGAGAAGAAUUCAUGGGGUAAAUAAAGUGACAAACAGUCAUUUCA
Molecule: long non-coding RNA, 741 nt
Filed under: Monodelphis domestica (gray short-tailed opossum)
Lineage: Eukaryota; Metazoa; Chordata; Mammalia; Didelphimorphia; Didelphidae
Description: lncRNA (ENSMODG00000031193.2)
Source: RNAcentral